CCAGCUAGAUCUACUGUCUCUAUUUCAUUAUGACAGACCAGCUAGAUCUACUCUCUCUAUUAUAAUAUGACAGACCAGCUAGAUCUACUGUCUCUAUUAUAUUAUGACAGACCAGCUAGAUCUAAUUUCUCUAUUAUAUUAUGACAGACCAGCUAGAUCUACUGUCUCUAUUAUAAUAUGACAGACCAGCUAGAUCUACUGUCACAAUUAUAGUAUGACAGACCAGCUAGAUCUACUGUCUCUAUUAUAUUAUGACAGACCAGCUAGAUCUAAUUUCUCUAUUAUAUUAUGACAGACCAGCUAGAUCUACUGUCUCUAUUAUAUUAUGACAGACCAGCUAGAUCUACUGUCUCUAUUAUAAUAUGACAGACCAG
Oncorhynchus tshawytscha (Chinook salmon) is the source of this 374-nucleotide long non-coding RNA. The record is from Ensembl. NCBI's taxonomy places the organism in Eukaryota, Metazoa, Chordata, Actinopteri, Salmoniformes, Salmonidae.